This 202-nucleotide non-coding RNA is filed under the name Pan troglodytes (chimpanzee). Lineage: Eukaryota; Metazoa; Chordata; Mammalia; Primates; Hominidae. RNAcentral also lists the same sequence under 2 other names. The record is from RNAcentral.
GUGUGUUAUAGAAAUGCAGUAUUUUGAGGCAAACUUCUGGAGUACUAAAUCUGAAUUGGAAAGGACUGAUAACAUCUCUUUCAACUCAUAGCUGAUUCAGGAUUGUUCAGAUAAAUUUGAGGAUUUACAUGACAUGACCUCAUUUACACACCUUAAAAAAGUAAAAUCAAGAUCAAGGCUUUUAGGAAAAAGCUCAGAUGAU